RNAcentral lists this ribosomal RNA (465 nucleotides) under Vreelandella stevensii. RNAcentral's name for it is "partial 16S ribosomal RNA". It matches the Rfam family "Bacterial small subunit ribosomal RNA", at positions 338 to 795 of the family's 1533-position model. The record is from RNAcentral. Lineage: Bacteria; Pseudomonadati; Pseudomonadota; Gammaproteobacteria; Oceanospirillales; Halomonadaceae.
CCUACGGGGGGCUGCAGUGGGGAAUAUUGGACAAUGGGGGGAACCCUGAUCCAGCCAUGCCGCGUGUGUGAAGAAGGCCCUCGGGUUGUAAAGCACUUUCAGUGAGGAAGAACACCUGGUGGUUAAUACCCAUCAGGAAAGACAUCACUCACAGAAGAAGCACCGGCUAACUCCGUGCCAGCAGCCGCGGUAAUACGGAGGGUGCGAGCGUUAAUCGGAAUUACUGGGCGUAAAGCGCGCGUAGGUGGCUUGAUAAGCCGGUUGUGAAAGCCCCGGGCUCAACCUGGGAACGGCAUCCGGAACUGUCAAGCUAGAGUGCAGGAGAGGAAGGUAGAAUUCCCGGUGUAGCGGUGAAAUGCGUAGAGAUCGGGAGGAAUACCAGUGGCGAAGGCGGCCUUCUGGACUGACACUGACACUGAGGUGCGAAAGCGUGGGUAGCAAACAGGAUUAGAUACCCUGGUAGUC